Molecule: transfer RNA, 73 nt
Filed under: Solirubrobacterales bacterium
Lineage: Bacteria; Bacillati; Actinomycetota; Thermoleophilia; Solirubrobacterales
Also listed under: 2 other names
Description: tRNA-Val
Rfam family: tRNA
About the family: Transfer RNA (tRNA) molecules are approximately 80 nucleotides in length. Their secondary structure includes four short double-helical elements and three loops (D, anti-codon, and T loops). Further hydrogen bonds mediate the characteristic L-shaped molecular structure. tRNAs have two regions of fundamental functional importance: the anti-codon, which is responsible for specific mRNA codon recognition, and the 3' end, to which the tRNAs corresponding amino acid is attached (by aminoacyl-tRNA synthetases). tRNAs cope with the degeneracy of the genetic code in two manners: having more than one tRNA (with a specific anti-codon) for a particular amino acid; and 'wobble' base-pairing, i.e. permitting non-standard base-pairing at the 3rd anti-codon position.
Source: RNAcentral
GGGCGGUUAGCUCAGUUGGGAGAGCGCCUGCCUUACAAGCAGGAGGUCACUGGUUCGAGACCAGUACCGCCCA